Molecule: long non-coding RNA, 1702 nt
Organism: Lepisosteus oculatus (spotted gar)
Lineage: Eukaryota; Metazoa; Chordata; Actinopteri; Semionotiformes; Lepisosteidae
Source: Ensembl
GCCGGAUCUGGGACGUGCUCUGACUCCUGGUAACGUCCCCCUGGUUCGAGUCCCUGACAACCGGUCAACUGGUCAAGCGUUCGGCCGCAGGGUUUGGCUGACCACUCAGGGGGUCCUCCUCCUCCUGCGCACUGGACGGGAUGCUCAUCUUCGCCCGGUCUGCCUCCGGUGAAGGGGGCACCCUCGGCAUCACCUAUGACAUCACCCAGUGAUGUCACAGUGACAUCGUCGCCACAGUCCUCCACACCACUGGCACAGGAAGCUCCGGCCCUGACGAGGCUCCUACUCUUGACCAGCAGCUCCAGCCCCGGUCCAGCCGGGCUUCACAGCCCGGGCACUAACGGGUCGUUUGGACCGGUACUGGACCCGUUCCUCCGGGUCGCUCGGCCAGCCCCGAGUGUGAAAGAUACCCGACUGCAGGGGAACCCUGCCCCGGGCUCUCUGGUUUCUGAUCACACAGCUGCUGGGGAGGCACGGGUAAGCCCGCGGUGGGGCCAGAUCAAUCUGACGUCACGGCGGGAUCGGCGCCUUCACGACAGAGCUGUUGUUUUAGGCGUUGAUUGCCGAAGGAGGCGAAGCAGGGCGCUGUGCCGCUGCCAUUCACGCCCUGAGUUGAGUUCAUUGCUCUUGUAAUUGCCGCGGCCCUGACCAUUCAUACAUUUCUACUGUGUGUUUCCACCGUACCGCACCUCCCUCCCCGGCUCGGCCGGCUGCCGCUCACCCCGCCGGCUCCGGCGCACCUCUAACCCCGCUACCCCAUCCAUCAGCGCCGGCCCGAGCGCCCAGCCUCCCCCCGGGCUGCCCCUCUCGGCGCACACAAUGGGAGCGGGGUCCGGAGCGCCUGACCUCCGGGAGCUGGCUGCGCGCCCGCCCGGAUAAACAACCGCGGCGCUCCGGCGCUGGAACAAUGCGCGCCCCCCCGGCCGCGAGCCGGGCAGCGCAGGCGAGAGGGGAAGCGGCUGCACGCGGGCCAAGAGCCGCACUUCCUGACAGGAGAGGGUUGUGGGUAAACUCUCUGCCCUCGGCGAUGGGCGCACAAAAUCCAUCUUUGUUGAAGAUGCUGGAGAGGCGAAUCCAUUAUAUCCGGCUAUUAUUAUCAUCAUUUAAAGGAAACCGUGUGGCCACUCUUCUCUGGAGUCAUUCCAAAGCAGCGAUACAGUUUUUUUUAACUAUGUCCAAACCUAGAUAAGCUAUUUCACAUGAGGUCUGACUGAUGCCGAUGUAAAAAAAAACACUACUUCACACAAACACAACACACAACGCUACUUAUACAAACAUGAGACAAAUAACACAACACUCUCACACAAACAUAGCACUCCCUUACACAACACAAAUCUCAAAGAAACAGCACUAAAGCACACAACAGUACCUUAACUACGCACAACACAACUCAGCACACGCAACAUAACCUCACACAACAACCCUGAUACCAGCCAGCCUCAGGACAGCACUGCUACAACACUGCCUCACACAAACACAACACUACCUCUCCCACUGGUACACAUACAGAAUCACAACACAUACUGGAACACGACUGGGCCCUGAAAAGACAACACACGCUCGUAACUGAUCACAGUGACAGACAACAAAGAAACACAGCUACUGAUGAAGUACAGGCUCAGUGACCACAGCCUGGACACAGACACUGGACACAGGCAGACCAGGCUGUCCAGAGAGGACAGGCUCAGUGACCACAGCCUGG